AAAGAAGCAGGAAUAGACGCAAGGGCUGGAGCUGGGAGGGAUGGGGGGGGGGGGAGGGAGAAUCCCUCCAGCGGCCCAGCCCCGCCUCCCGAGAUGUGGCAGGCCUCCUCCCUGCCCUACACCUUAGUCCACCACCCUUCCGUCCCCGCCUUGCAGGGAGGCUACCACCGGCUCCCGGGAAGCCCCUCCCGCAGACCUGCCGCUCCCCUGCCUCAGAAGGAGCUGCUCGACCGACAGAUACCAAGGUCGUCUUUGCGCCGGCGUGCGACCCAUUUAAUACGGUAGAGGAUUUAAAACCCUGCACAAGAGCCUACUGCCUGGGGUGGCUCCCAUACCAAAGUCCGAGAAGCGAGGGAAGGGAGACCUCGAAGGAGGGUGACGUGGCUCACCGCUGCUACGAGAUCCAUCGCGGGAAGCCCAUACCCCCACGUGGCGUAUCUCCUGAACCGCGCUUCUUUUUACCUUCUGCCCCGGUAAGACGUUUACCUAACCUCAUCAUCGUUCGUGGUACGAGACGGACGUCGCCACGUAGUGAAAAGCCGAGGCUUCACGGCCCCGGAAGGGCAGAUCGGGAUUAA
RNAcentral lists this long non-coding RNA (578 nucleotides) under Felis catus (domestic cat). RNAcentral describes it as "lncRNA (ENSFCAG00000041634.2)". The record is from RNAcentral. Lineage: Eukaryota; Metazoa; Chordata; Mammalia; Carnivora; Felidae.